RNAcentral lists this long non-coding RNA (282 nucleotides) under Brassica napus (rape). Its description in RNAcentral is "long non-coding RNA (BNAP_LNC019663)". The record is from RNAcentral. Lineage: Eukaryota; Viridiplantae; Streptophyta; Magnoliopsida; Brassicales; Brassicaceae.
UAAUUUGUUUCUUGUACUAUUGAGAAUACAUAAAUUAUAUUAAGGUUGUUGAGAAUACCUUUUAUUUCUGGAUAUUUUUUCUCUAGUUUAGUUGUGUAAGUUGUGUGUAUUAAGUAAUAAUUUUUAUUAUCCUUAUUAUGAUUGUUAUAUGUUUUUUUAUUUAUAAACUUGUUGUUUUUACCGGACUUUAAGAAAAAUACAUGAAGAUUUGUAAAAAUAACUAAAAUGAGUGACAAUUCUUAGUAUCUGAGCUUUAAUGGGUUUUAAAUGAAUUUAUGUAUU